UCUUUAGAUGGAUCAGACGUUGGGGAAUAUGUAAUCGGUGGUGCAGAAUACCCUCUUCUCCCCUGGCUCCUGACACCUUAUAACCAGCUGGAAAAGGAGGAUCACUCAAACUUCCCUGAUCAAGUCGAGUUCAACAGGAGACACUCUGCAGCCCGAACUGUCACAUUGAAGGCGAUGGCAAGGUUUCAAGACACAUAUAAGUGGUUGUACAGAGGGACGUGGCACCCGAAAAGUCCUGGUAAUGCAAUUUGGGCGUGCUUGUUGUUGCAGAACAUAGUGAUAGACAUGGAGGAAGGUGAAGGUGCACCGUUCAGUGAGGAGUCAGAU
RNAcentral lists this ribosomal RNA (327 nucleotides) under Triticum aestivum (bread wheat). RNAcentral describes it as "partial small subunit ribosomal RNA". Lineage: Eukaryota; Viridiplantae; Streptophyta; Magnoliopsida; Poales; Poaceae. The record is from RNAcentral.